This 384-nucleotide unclassified non-coding RNA is filed under the name soil metagenome. RNAcentral's name for it is "partial contains 5.8S ribosomal RNA, internal transcribed spacer 2, and large subunit ribosomal RNA". The stretch from base 1 to 120 matches the Rfam family "5.8S ribosomal RNA", at positions 35 to 154 of the family's 154-position model. The record is from RNAcentral.
GAUGAAGAACGCAGUGAAAUGCGAUAGGUAAUGUGAAUUGCAGAAUUCAGUGAAUCAUCAAAUCUUUGAACGCACAUUGCGCCCUUUGGUAUUCCUUAGGGCAUGCCUGUUCGAGCGUCACUACACACCUUAUCACAAUAUUUGUGGUCUUGGCAGGAGUGAAUUGCUGGUCUAUGGAAGUAUUCCAGCAGUACACAAUGCUAAAAAAUAUGGGAAGGUUACCAGAUAUGAACAACAGACUUUGUAAAUGGUUGUAGGACCUAGAUCAGUCACAAGUCAUGUCUGGUCCCUUACCUUAAGGACCCCCAUCCUAGAUGAACUAUGGGUUGACCUCGGAUCAGGUAGGAAUACCCGCUGAACUUAAGCAUAUCAAUAAGCGGAGGA